UACAGAGGUCCCAAGCGUUGUUCGGAUUCACUGGGCGUAAAGGGUGCGUAGGUGGUGGGGUAAGUCGGAUGUGAAAGCUCGGAGCUCAACUCCGAAAUGGCAUUGGAAACUACCCUGCUAGAGGAUUGGAGGGGGGACUGGAAUACUUGGUGUAGCAGUGAAUGCGUAGAUAUCAAGUGGAACACCAGUGGCGAAGGCGAGUCCCUGGACAAUACCUGACACUGAGGCACGAAAGCUAGGGGAGCAAACAGG
Molecule: ribosomal RNA, 252 nt
Filed under: uncultured bacterium
Lineage: Bacteria
Description: partial 16S ribosomal RNA
Rfam family: Bacterial small subunit ribosomal RNA
Source: RNAcentral